Molecule: ribosomal RNA, 1005 nt
Filed under: uncultured bacterium
Lineage: Bacteria
Description: bacterial SSU rRNA
Rfam family: Bacterial small subunit ribosomal RNA
Source: RNAcentral
CCUACGGGAGGCAGCAGUGGGGAAUAUUGCACAAUGGGCGCAAGCCUGAUGCAGCGACGCCGCGUGAGGGAUGACGGCCUUCGGGUUGUAAACCUCUUUCAGUAGGGAAGAAGCGAAAGUGACGGUACCUGCAGAAGAAGCGCCGGCUAACUACGUGCCAGCAGCCGCGGUAAUACGUAGGGCGCAAGCGUUAUCCGGAAUUAUUGGGCGUAAAGAGCUCGUAGGCGGUUUGUCGCGUCUGCCGUGAAAGUCCGGGGCUCAACUCCGGAUCUGCGGUGGGUACGGGCAGACUAGAGUGAUGUAGGGGAGACUGGAAUUCCUGGUGUAGCGGUGAAAUGCGCAGAUAUCAGGAGGAACACCGAUGGCGAAGGCAGGUCUCUGGGCAUUAACUGACGCUGAGGAGCGAAAGCAUGGGGAGCGAACAGGAUUAGAUACCCUGGUAGUCCAUGCCGUACACGUUGGGCACUAGGUGUGGGGGACAUUCCACGUUUUCCGCGCCGUAGCUAACGCAUUAAGUGCCCCGCCUGGGGAGUACGGCCGCAAGGCUAAAACUCAAAGGAAUUGACGGGGGCCCGCACAAGCGGCGGAGCAUGCGGAUUAAUUCGAUGCAACGCGAAGAACCUUACCAAGGCUUGACAUGAACCGGUAAGACCUGGAAACAGGUCCCCCGCUUGCGGUCGGUUUACAGGUGGUGCAUGGUUGUCGUCAGCUCGUGUCGUGAGAUGUUGGGUUAAGUCCCGCAACGAGCGCAACCCUCGUUCUAUGUUGCCAGCACGUGAUGGUGGGGACUCAUAGGAGACUGCCGGGGUCAACUCGGAGGAAGUGGGGGACGACGUCAAAUCAUCAUGCCCCUUAUGUCUUGGGCUUCACGCAUGCUACAUGGCCGGUACAAAGGGUUGCGAUACUGUGAGUUGGAGCUAAUCCAAAAGCGGUCUCAGUUCGGAUUGGGGUCUGCACUCGACCCCAUGAAGUCGGAGUCGCUAGUAAUCGCAAAUCAGCCACGCC